This 489-nucleotide ribosomal RNA is filed under the name uncultured bacterium. RNAcentral's name for it is "bacterial SSU rRNA". It matches the Rfam family "Bacterial small subunit ribosomal RNA", at positions 19 to 518 of the family's 1533-position model. The record is from RNAcentral.
AUGGCUCAGGAUGAACGCUGGCGGCGUGCUUAACACAUGCAAGUCGAACGGAGCCAAGGAGUGCUUGCAUUCCUGAAGCUUAGUGGCGGACGGGUGAGUAACGCGUGGGGAAUCUGCCCCGUACCGGGGGAUAACACUUAGAAAUAGGUGCUAAUACCGCAUAAGCGCACGGCAUCGCAUGAUGCAGUGUGAAAAAACUCCGGUGGUACGGGAUGACCCCGCGUCUGAUUAGCCAGUUGGCAGGGUAACGGCCUACCAAAGCAACGAUCAGUAGCCGGCCUGAGAGGGUGAACGGCCACAUUGGGACUGAGACACGGCCCAAACUCCUACGGGAGGCAGCAGUGGGGAAUAUUGCACAAUGGGGGAAACCCUGAUGCAGCCGACGCCGCGUGAAGGAGGAAGUGCUUCGGCAUGUAAACUUCUAUCAGCAGGGAAGAAGAUGACGGUACCUGACUAAGAAGCCCCGGCUAACUACGUGCCAGCCGCUGC